This 468-nucleotide ribosomal RNA is filed under the name uncultured bacterium. Its description in RNAcentral is "partial 16S ribosomal RNA". It matches the Rfam family "Bacterial small subunit ribosomal RNA", at positions 28 to 507 of the family's 1533-position model. The record is from RNAcentral.
GACGAACGCUGGCGGCGUGCUUAACACAUGCAAGUCGAACGGAAAGGCCCUGCUUUUGUGGGGUGCUCGAGUGGCGAACGGGUGAGUAACACGUGAGUAACCUGCCCUUGACUUUGGGAUAACUUCAGGACACUGGGGCUAAUACCGGAUAGGAGCUCCUGCUGCAUGGUGGGGGUUGGAAAGUUUCGGCGGUUGGGGCUGGACUCGCGGCUUAGCAGCUUGUUGGUGGGGUAGUGGCUUACGAAGGCUUUGACGGGUAGCCGGCCUGAGGGGGUGACCGGCCACAUUGGGACUGAGAUACGGCGCAGGCUCCGACGAGAGGCAGCAGUGGGAAAUAUUGCACAAUGGGCGGAAGCCUGAUGCAGCAACGCCGCGUGCGGGAUGACGGCCUUCGGGUUGUAAACCGCUUGCGCCUGUGACGAAGCGUGAGUGACGGUAAUGGGUAAAGAAGCACCGGCUAACUACGUG